CAGCCGCCGCGGUAAAACGGAGGGAGCUAGCGUUGUUCGGAAUCACUGGGCGUAAAGCGCACGUAGGCGGCUAUUCAAGUCAGGGGUGAAAGCCCGGGGCUCAACCCCGGAACUGCCUUUGAAACUAGAUAGCUUGAAUCUUGGAGAGGCGAGUGGAAUUCCGAGUGUAGAGGUGAAAUUCGUAGAUAUUCGGAAGAACACCAGUGGCGAAGGCGACUCGCUGGACAAGUAUUGACGCUGAGGUGCGAAAGCGUGGGGAGCAAACAGGAUUAGAUACCCCGGUAGUCCCUGUCUCUUAUAC
This 301-nucleotide ribosomal RNA is filed under the name uncultured bacterium. Its description in RNAcentral is "partial 16S ribosomal RNA". It matches the Rfam family "Bacterial small subunit ribosomal RNA", at positions 509 to 807 of the family's 1533-position model. The record is from RNAcentral.